RNAcentral lists this ribosomal RNA (995 nucleotides) under uncultured bacterium. Its description in RNAcentral is "bacterial SSU rRNA". It matches the Rfam family "Bacterial small subunit ribosomal RNA", at positions 355 to 1375 of the family's 1533-position model. The record is from RNAcentral.
UGGGGAAUAUUGCACAAUGGGGGAAACCCUGAUGCAGCGACGCCGCGUGGAGGAAGAAGGUCUUCGGAUUGUAAACUCCUGUUGUUGAGGAAGAUAAUGACGGUACUCAACAAGGAAGUGACGGCUAACUACGUGCCAGCAGCCGCGGUAAAACGUAGGUCACAAGCGUUGUCCGGAAUUACUGGGUGUAAAGGGAGCGCAGGCGGGAAGACAAGUUGGAAGUGAAAUCUAUGGGCUCAACCCAUAAACUGCUUUCAAAACUGUUUUUCUUGAGUAGUGCAGAGGUAGGCGGAAUUCCCGGUGUAGCGGUGGAAUGCGUAGAUAUCGGGAGGAACACCAGUGGCGAAGGCGGCCUACUGGGCACCAACUGACGCUGAGGCUCGAAAGUGUGGGUAGCAAACAGGAUUAGAUACCCUGGUAGUCCACACCGUAAACGAUGAUUACUAGGUGUUGGAGGAUUGACCCCUUCAGUGCCGCAGUUAACACAAUAAGUAAUCCACCUGGGGAGUACGACCGCAAGGUUGAAACUCAAAGGAAUUGACGGGGGCCCGCACAAGCAGUGGAGUAUGUGGUUUAAUUCGACGCAACGCGAAGAACCUUACCAAGUCUUGACAUCCUGCGACGAUGCUGGAAACAGUAUUUUCUUUCGGGACGCAGAGACAGGUGGUGCAUGGUUGUCGUCAGCUCGUGUCGUGAGAUGUUGGGUUAAGUCCCGCAACGAGCGCAACCCUUACUGUCAGUUACUACGCAAGAGGACUCUGGCAGGACUGCCGUUGACAAAACGGAGGAAGGUGGGGAUGACGUCAAAUCAUCAUGCCCUUUAUGACUUGGGCUACACACGUACUACAAUGGCGUUAAACAAAGAGAAGCAAGACCGCGAGGUGGAGCAAAACUCAGAAACAACGUCCCAGUUCGGAUUGUAGUCUGCAACUCGACCACAUGAAGCUGGAAUCGCUAGUAAUCGCGAAUCAGCAUGUCGCGGUGAAUACGUUCCC